AUACAGAGGUCCCAAGCGUUGUUCGGAUUCACUGGGCGUAAAGGGUGCGUAGGUGGUGAGGCAAGUCGGAUGUGAAAUCUCGGAGCUUAACUCCGAAACUGCAUUGGAAACUGCCUUGCUUGAGGUUUGGAGGGGGGACUGGAAUGCUUGGUGUAGCAGUGAAAUGCGUAGAUAUCAAGCGGAACACCAGUGGCGAAGGCGAGUCCCUGGACAACACCUGACACUGAGGCACGAAAGCUAGGGGAGC
Molecule: ribosomal RNA, 247 nt
Filed under: uncultured bacterium
Lineage: Bacteria
Description: partial 16S ribosomal RNA
Rfam family: Bacterial small subunit ribosomal RNA
Source: RNAcentral